GACGAACGCUGGCGGCGUGCUUAACACAUGCAAGUCGAACGGAAAGGCCCUGCUUUUGUGGGGUGCUCGAGUGGCGAACGGGUGAGUAACACGUGAGUAACCUGCCCUUGACUUUGGGAUAACUUCAGGAAACUGGGGCUAAUACCGGAUAGGAGCUCCUGCUGCAUGGUGGGGGUUGGAAAGUUUCGGCGGUUGGGGAUGGACUCGCGGCUUAUCAGCUUGUUGGUGGGGUAGUGGCUUACCAAGGCUUUGACGGGUAGCCGGCCUGAGAGGGUGACCGGCCACAUUGGGACUGAGAUACGGCCCAGACUCCUACGGGAGGCAGCAGGGGGGAAUAUUGCACAAUGGGCGGAAGCCUGAGGCAGCAACGCCGCGUGCGGGAUGACGGCCUUCGGGUUGUAAACCGCUUUCGCCUGUGACGAAGCGUGAGUGACGGUAAUGGGGAAAGAAGCACCGGCUAACUACGU
This 467-nucleotide ribosomal RNA is filed under the name uncultured bacterium. RNAcentral's name for it is "partial 16S ribosomal RNA". It matches the Rfam family "Bacterial small subunit ribosomal RNA", at positions 28 to 506 of the family's 1533-position model. The record is from RNAcentral.